RNAcentral lists this ribosomal RNA (446 nucleotides) under uncultured bacterium. RNAcentral describes it as "bacterial SSU rRNA". It matches the Rfam family "Bacterial small subunit ribosomal RNA", at positions 329 to 792 of the family's 1533-position model. The record is from RNAcentral.
UGCCAGACUCCUACGGGAGGCAGCAGUGGGGAAUAUUGCACAAUGGGGGAAACCCUGAUGCAGCAACGCCGCGUGAGUGAGGAAGUAUUUCGGUAUGUAAAGCUCUAUCAGCAGGGAAGAAGAUGACGGUACCUGACUAAGAAGCCCCGGCUAACUACGCGCCAGCAGCCGCGGUAAUACGUAGGGGGCAAGCGUUAUCCGGAUUUACUGGGUGUAAAGGGAGCGUAGACGGCGAUGCAAGCCAGAUGUGAAAGCCCGGGGCUCAACCCCGGGACUGCAUUUGGAACUGUGUGGCUGGAGUGUCGGAGAGGCAGGCGGAAUUCCUAGUGUAGCGGUGAAAUGCGUAGAUAUUAGGAGGAACACCAGUGGCGAAGGCGGCCUGCUGGACGAUGACUGACGUUGAGGCUCGAAAGCGUGGGGAGCAAACAGGAUUAGAUACCCCCGUA